This 514-nucleotide ribosomal RNA is filed under the name uncultured bacterium. RNAcentral's name for it is "partial 16S ribosomal RNA". It matches the Rfam family "Bacterial small subunit ribosomal RNA", at positions 28 to 523 of the family's 1533-position model. The record is from RNAcentral.
GACGAACGCUGGCGGCGUGCCUAAUACAUGCAUGUCGAGCGGAUGAGAGAGGAGCUUGCUCCUCUAGAUUCAGCGGCGGACGGGUGAGUAACACGUGGGCAACCUGCCCUGUAGAUUGGGAUAACUCCGGGAAACCGGGGCUAAUACCGAAUAAUCCUUCGGACCUCAUGGUCCGAUGUUGAAAGCCGGUUUCGGCUGUCACUACAGGAUGGGCCCGCGGCGCAUUAGCUAGUCGGUGAGGUAACGGCUCACCAAGGCCACGAUGCGUAGCCGACCUGAGAGGGUGAUCGGCCACACUGGGACUGAGACACGGCCCAGACUCCUACGGGAGGCAGCAGUAGGGAAUCUUCCACAAUGGACGAAAGUCUGAUGGAGCAACGCCGCGUGAGUGAAGAAGGUUCUCGGAUCGUAAAACUCUGUUGUGAGGGAAGAACAAGUACCGGAGUAACUGCCGGUGCCUUGACGGUACCUCAUUAGAAAGCCACGGCUAACUACGUGCCAGCCGCCGCCGUAA